CUCAGGGCCGGUGGCCGCCUGCACUGCAGGGUCCCUGGAUCUUGUGCCUGGACAUAGAUCUCGAGGUGUUUGUGGCGGGGCGCAGCCUGGACCUGCUGGAGGAGCUGUGACAGGCUUACUGGCCUGGGUUCGGGAUGACGGGAAUGGAAAGAAACGGGAUUCUGUGGUCAGAGGGACCUCUUGUCGCCCUUUCCUAGGCUAGCCAAACCUAGUCCCAGCUUCAAUACCAGGCCCUUAAAUAGAAACAGAGUUGACUCGUGGCUCUGGGGAUUUGAGCGCGUGGUCACACAUACGGGACUGCCCAGCAUCGCAGAAAAUUUACCAUGGCUGGCAUCUGCCGACAUAUACACAGAUUUCCAGAGCCCUUUUGAGAACCAGGAGGCUUAAAGAAUCAUGAGGGUCCCUUCCUGCCGUGUGUGGGGAGCAUUGAUGAGGUACAGUUUGACAAGAUAGAAAAACCCACAACACUGCAGGCAGCUGAUGCAGGUGCUGUCUCUGCCCGACAAAAGCCGUGCUAUCUCGGAGCAGAGAGAACACAGGACACAGGAUGGGAUGUUCCCACCGAAUAGAUAC
This is a long non-coding RNA of Fukomys damarensis (Damara mole-rat), 573 nucleotides long. RefSeq lists it as uncharacterized. The record is from RefSeq and is a predicted model, not a curated record. Lineage: Eukaryota; Metazoa; Chordata; Mammalia; Rodentia; Bathyergidae. The transcript has 3 exons.